Equus caballus (horse) is the source of this 7150-nucleotide non-coding RNA. NCBI's taxonomy places the organism in Eukaryota, Metazoa, Chordata, Mammalia, Perissodactyla, Equidae. The record is from RefSeq and is a predicted model, not a curated record.
UCUUGGAGAAAACUUGGAGAAUAAAGAAAAAGCCAGGGAUAAUAAUUUGCUUUGUAAUUUUCAUUGCAUUUAUGCCAUAAACUUCUUUCAUGAGCAAAAUUGGGAUGACACCGUUUAUGUUAUAUAACAUUUUUCAUUUAACAAUAUAUUGUGAAUAUUUUGCCAUACUUUUAGAUAUUAUUAUACAUGGUUUUUAAUGACUCCUUAGUAUUCCUCCAAUGGAUGUAACACAAUUUACUUACACGUCCCUACUUUUUUUUCCUGUUAUAUUAAUAUGGCAAUGGACAUCUUUGUGUACAGCUGUAGUUAAUUCCUUGGGAUACAUUUUGGAAGUAGAUUUGUUCCCCAGAAAGGCUGUACCAUCAUAUACAAUUUUUUUUUUCAUAGCUGGUAGAGAAGAAAAAGAAAUAUCAGCAGUAUAUUGCCACUUUGCACAAGAACACUAAGCUACAGUUGUAUACAUUGAGUAGUUUCCAGGAAAGCUCACCUUUGACAGUUGAGCUGUCCUUAAAAUGUCACUUGGCAGUUUCAAUUUUCCAUUUUCUUUCUCAUCUAAUGGGCAAAGGGCAUUUUUUCCCAGGUGACUAUUGCUAUCCUCUUUUGAAGUCAUAUGAGGCCAUUAGUGCUAUGUGACCAAGGUUUGGAAGGAGCACCCUACAAAGGCUGGGAAAAUACUUAGGUUACAAGUCAUAGCAGACUUCCUGGAGGAGGCAAGACUUGAGUGGGGAACUGUAUAUGGGUAGCAUCAAGUAGGCAGAGGAUGAGCAGAUUUUAGGGGAAAAGACCAUUUGGGGCAGCUUGCCAUAAACCACUGCAGUAGAAAACCAUUGGUACACAACAGGAAUAAAGCUAAUAAAACUAAAAACCUGUCACCCUACAGAAUUCAUAGUGCCCCCUCCCCAUCAGUGAACAUAACGCACUUGACCAACAGGAGUGUACCAUACUCAAAGGCCUGUGUUUAGGGUCUUGCCAAUAUCAGGGGUGCACCUUCUCUGGGCUAGGCUGACCUACAUUCUUUUUAUAAAGGAAUGAGAUGGAUAUUUUAGGACAUCAAGAGCUAGAGACUAGUCAAAGGAAUAAUCUUUGUUUCCUUUUAUUCUCUAUGGAAAGCACUGCUGAGCAACAUUCAGACAUGACGUGCAUUGUUUCGCAGCUCUUUACCAAAGGUGGGGUUGUUCUAGAAGUUUGAAUAGUGUAGUACCCCCCAGCUGGAGUGGCCCGCCGGUCAUAGUGGGUGAAGACAGAAGUCGUUUGCCUGCAGCUCUUGGCCAAGUCCCGUGAGCACCAUCCAGCUCUCUGGUUACCUCCCCUGGGGAAGAAAUUGGAGUUCUCCUCUGUUUGAGGUGGGCAGUCCCAGUGGGCAGGCUUUCCCUAUCCUUAACAAGAAUACUUAAAGUACAAGCGAAUAUAAUUUCUGGACGCAGAGAGAUUAUUAGAGAAAUGUUGCACCCACUUCAUGUUCCAUUUGUUGCGAGAAGUACAGUCUUCCGGAAGGGUGCACACAGACUUGGUGUGACUUAAGCACAAGGGUCAGUCACCAUUGUCUAAUCCCAUUGGUUCCCCAUGAGAAGGAAGCCUAUAUUAUUAACUGUAUGGGGAGUGUUAGUGGGUGUUUGGGCCCAUUAAGCAGAACUCGUCCAGGGCCUUCUAGCACUUCUACAUCAGGUUAAGCCAGUAACUGAAGAAACCCCGAAUACUUUCCCUUGAAUUAUAAGGGCUCCAGAAAGAUUGCUACUAGUGAGUCAUUCAAGCUGUAGCCAAAAAGCAAUUCCAGACAGGUGGAAGGGAGAGGUCUGGACCACUCCACUGUUUGAAGGUCCCCUGGGAUGAAUAUCUAGCACGGAAUCAACAACGGUGGCCCUCGGCCCUCUGCUCUGGACUUUUCAUGAUCCAGGUCUCAAGAGCCAACUUGACCCCAACGUGACCCCACCCUAAAGCUCUGGGUAAAGAUGCCCCCUGGAGGCAAAAGUGAACACACAUAGGCCUCAGACAGAGCAGCCUCGGAAAUAGGUCCUUGUUUGUCUUCAAAGUCCGCAAGCUUAGGGCGGGACCUCUGUGCUGUUUCGCAGCACCUGACCCCCAGUAGUUAUCAAUGUCUGCCAGGCGCAUGAGCAGAUGGAAGAACGAGGCUAGGCCUGGACCAGUUCCAGCUGCCUCCAGUCCUGCCUGCCCUGUCUUCAUGUGGGCGUGCAGUGCUGUACCUCAGCAAGGGAAGACGGUGUGACAGACGACACUGCAGAGCACAGAGGCGACAAGCUUGGGAUUUGGAGUCAGACACGUCUGGGCACUAAUCCCAGCUCUGCCGCUUGUGAGUUGUGUGACUUCAGAUGACUGACUUGAUCUUCGAGCUUCCGUUUCCUCAUAUAUAAAAAGGAUGCAAUAAAAUCGUCCUCAUUUGGCUCUCAGGAGAAUAAAAUAAGAGAAUGGCUAUAACGCGUUUAACCAAGGGGCACACAGUAAGUGCUCAACAAAUGGGCCUGUGUGGGGGUCUAUGCAUCUGUAGAUGUGACGCCGUAGACCCAGAGGUAGCUUGGGAGGACCAGCACACGUCGCCCUUUCUAGAGGAGGCAUCGUGGAUUCUGGACCCUGCAGUGUCAGCCAGCGUAGCGCAUUAGCACCCGGGAUUAUUCUGUUAAGGGUGUGGGCCAUGAAUCAUGAGUGAAAGUCUCUGAGGUCACCGGUGUGGGGAUGAGGUCAGGGCCAGCCUUGUGAUUAAGUCACACGAGCCAGAAGCAGACCUGCUUGGUUCUCAGGAUAAGAGUUAUGGCUGACUUCAUGGAGGAUGAGGGACGGAAGGGAGCUUCCACUGGGUCUAGUCUGAGUCUCAAAUUCGAUGGGGAUUCCUUAUCAGUCAAGGCAUGUUUCUGCUCAGCAGGGAUGGCCCUUCCCCGCCAAGUGCCUUUACGGGGCCAUCACGACUGUUAAAUUUGACUCAGGCCAGAUGCACCACUGGGCAAAUUUUAUUGGGAGUUGCACAUGCCAGGAACUCCUACAGUGUGUCAUCUGAGAAAGCCCUAGAACAUUGAGACAGAGUCAAGCUCUGCCCUGGAAGCCUAGUGCGUGAUGAUCCUGUUUGUGAAAUUUUAAUUGCUCAGAAUGACUGAUGGUGCCGUGGGUGAUUACUGAAUUGCACCUUUGGUAAUCAGUCAUUCACUCAACAUUUAUUUCCUUUCUUUGCUUUUCUCCUAGGUGAAAACUGUGGUAGUGAGAGACCACAUAUUUGGGCCCACGAUGUGCCAGGAGCAUGGCACGCUUCUCUGCUGGCUCUUUCAUCCUGUUUGCUUGCAUACACAACAGUGUCCCCACAUAGGAAUCCCAGGCGGUUUGGUGGCUCUUUAACAUUCCCCAGAGCUACCUUUUAAAGCAGUGAGGUGACUCGAGUUCCAGCAGAGAGGCUGGAUUAAAAUGCUGAGCAUGAACACUUGAGAGAAGAUGCACAUUAUGGUUGUUGUUUGGCAUCUUUGCACAUUAACUAUUCUCACUAUCAGAAAAUGGAAUAUUUUGCUAGCAGUUACUGGAGGAGCCAAAGGUUUUAGCAACAGAAUUGUUUUAUAUUUAAAAGCUACUGGACAAGUCACACUCUUUCUCCUGUAAUCCAUAACUAUGGCCACUAGUGGAGCUCAGGAGAAUGGAAUCCCAGUGCCCCCUACACCAAGGGCACAGGUCUCCCAGAGCAGCUCUCUGCAAGGAGUCAGGAUGAUGUGGUGAACGCUGAGCUGUGAGCUGGAGGUUGGGAUGUUGGGGUUCAAAAUUCUGGCUCUGCCACUUACCUGCCGGGUAGCUCUGUGAGGGCUGUGCUUGCUUGUCUGUAGAACAAGGGGCAGGCCCUAGAGUCACUCCAGUCCCAAUAUUCUAGGAGACUGGGCGAGAUUGGAGGGGCACUCAGAAAUCUGGAGACAACGUAAGGACUGUUCAGAUUAAUGUGUCCUUGGUAACUCUGAGCAGGGGUCACAGAUGUUUGGCGCUGGAUAGAGAAAUCUCAGAGCUAUGGGAUCCCACCCAAGUGCAAAGUCCCUAGAACCACUCAGUUGUCACUAGCAGUUAACAUGAAAUUCUUUGGUGGAUAAUGUCAUCAUGUUAGUGGAUAAUGACUUUUAUGAAACUAAUGCUCUUUGAGAUACAUUUUCAAACUCUAGUCUCCUGUUAUUUUUCAUUAUUAGUACUAGUAAAAAAAUAAUAGCAUCCUCGAUGUACCCAGUGCUUGUGAUGUGCUAUGCACUUUUUACGCUGUGCGAAGCAUGACCUCAUUAAACCCUCCUGAUAACUCUAUUAUUGCCCCCAUUUUACAGAUGAGAAAACUAAGGCUCAGAGAGGUUCAGAGGCUUUUCCAAGGUCACAUCAUCAGUAAAUGGAUGCACUAGGAUUUGAGUCUGACUCAGUCACUUCCAAGUCCACAUCCGUCUUUUAUGGCCAGAAAUUCUAGUGUUCUGCAUCACAUAUGAUCAGCCACAUUAUAAUCAACACACAUUUGCGAAAUGUCAGCUGUGAGCAGAAAGCAGAGGUGGAGAAAUUGGAUAUAGUCCUUGCUUUUACGAUCCUCAAAUCUAGGAGACAGAGCUAUCUGUAAGUGAUACAAGAGCAUAAAACAAUGAGUGGUUAGAUUGCUAGAACCAGAGGGGCUCAGAGGCAGGAAAAAUUACCAAGCACUCCGAAAAAGCUUUAUUGACAAAUUGGGACUUCCCUUGCAUCCUAAAGAAUGGAGGUUGAAAAAAAGUCCAAGGAAAGCAGAGAGAAGAGGAGAGAUGCUGGAGUCGGGGGAAGGAUAAGAACAAAGGCCCGGCGAUGGGGGUGCGCUUGCCGUGUUCUGAGAACAUUGGGUGGGCGCGGCCGCUUGAUGCCAGCAGAAGGUUUGGGGAGCAAGAGAGUCAUCUGGGGAGGAGCCUUCCGCUUGGCCACCAGGGGAGGGACUCAGUCUCCUCUGUGCAGACAGUUCCUCUAAGCAGGUGAGCACAUACUGGGCGUGUCUCCUUUGCAAAGCAAGAAACUUGAUAUUAGAUUGCUUCUCCCACAUAAGAAUAGUGACUGCAAUAGAGAAAUUUUACUAACAAAAAAUAGUCACUUGGAGAACAUGUAUAAAUCCUACCAAAGACUAAUAUUCCCUUGGCCACACUAAGGAGUGAACCAAGAGAGCUGCCUUCCAUGCUGCCUGUGUUAAGCGCCCAUGCAUUUACUGACAAGAAAUGGGAGAAAAAAAAGCCGCUAAGAAAGCCGUGUUGGGAUGGUGGCAUUAUGGGUGAUUUUUUUUUUCCUCUUUGAGGCUGACUUUAAUGUUACCGUUAAAUACUAACUGACAUUUUUUUAAUGAGGCCAGUCAUGUUGGGAGGCUAAGGGAAUUUCUGAAUUGAAUAUUAACUAAGUUAUUUACAAUUUUUAGCGACCAGAAGUUAUUGCAGAUUUUUGAAAGUUUAUUAGAGGAAAAAUUUACAACAAAUCAAGGGAGAUGGCACACACCAGGCCCUGGCCUGGAUUGCCUUUAUGCUCUUUGGCUGUCAGGGAGCUCCUAUUCAUCCUCCAAAACCCAAGCAGGCUUCACCUUCUCUUCCAAGCCUUCCCAUCCACUCUGCUCACGUCUACCCCACCCUGCAACAGAGUUUAACUGUUGGUAACUCUGUUUACCCAUAGUACCUUACAUCAGUAGGAAGCAGUAAUUUGGAGUCAUUUAGACAGUUUAGGAAUCCUAGCUCCACUACUUAUUAGCUGUGCAAUUAAGUUACGUAACUGAGCCUCAGUUUCCUCCUCUGUAAAAUGGGGAUAAUAGCUUUUGCACCUAUGAGGACUGAAAUAAAAUAUGUAAAAUGCUUAGACCAGUUUAUGGCAUUAAAUAUGUGCUCAGUAAAGGGUCCUUUCAGAAUGAUCUAUCCAUUUCUGUGACUGCAUUUACCACAUUGUAUUUACUGCUUGCGUGGUUUUCUCUCCCAUCAGCUACAGCGCAUGGGCAGCGUUUUUUGUUUUGUUUUGUUUUCAUCUCUGGUACCCAGUACCAGGCACACGUCGGGCUCCUGGGGAGCCAGGGAGGCAGAGCUGUGGGGGCAGCUCGGGGAGACCGGUCCCCAGCGGGGCCGGGGAGGAGCCCUCGGGAGGCAGGCGAGGAACCUGGGGCCUGUAGCGACCCGGAGGAGCUGGGAAGAGGGUCGUAUAGGUUGAUAUUGACGCCAAGGAGUGGGGACGGGAGGAAUCCCGUUUGCCUGUUCCAAGAUUCUAGUUGCUGAAGUCUAGGCUGCCUUCUUGUAUAUUUUUCCAGCUAUGAGUCAACUCAUUGCAGUUUCAGGGGUCCCAUCCAAGAGAGGUCUUCAGCUGGCAUCAGAUGUGUUGGUUCCAAUGGUGACGCAUUUAAAAUAAUAAUGAUGAUGCAAAUGUUAGGGCUCAGGCCAGGCCCCUGGUAGAGUGUCUCCUCACACAUUGUUACUUAGUUCGCAUAACAACCCUGUAUAGUGGAUAGUAUUCUUCUCUCACCCCAUUUGACCAAUGAGGAAACAGAUACAGAAAAGCUAAGACACAUGCCCGAGAUCACACAGCUAGCAAGUAGCAGAGCUGGGUUUUGAACCCCUCCCUGUGUCUCUCCAGAAAUGGAGCUCUUAACCACGUGCCUCCCAAACAAUUUAAUGUGUUUUCCCUCCAUUUCACUGUCCUAACAUUUCUUGAGGGUCUGCUGUUGACUAUCGUUGAAGAGAAUGAUUGCAAAAACCUUGAAUGAGCAUGGGAAAUGCUGAGGAUGGGAUUUCCAUGGAAAAGAGAGGGAUGCUUAACAGACUGGGUGCUGUGGCUGUAAUUGUCAGAAAAUGUUUAAGAGUAGGGACAGAUGGAAAAAAUCUUAUUAGAAUAAUUGUGGGUGAACUUUAGUUCUUUUUUUUUUGUUUUUUAUUCUCAAAAAUAUCCUUAACGUCAUUGUUUCAUAGUCUUUAUAAAUACACCGCCACAUAAAGUAACAGAAGCCCUCUGGCUUGAUUGUCAUACCGAACAUGGCCAUGUGGUGUCCCUCUAGCUCAGUCUAAACCUCAGAGAUGACUGACUUCCCCUAGUCUCCUCCUGGAUGAGGGGCAGGCUGGUCUGAUCAGAUCCGAAGCCCGAGGGCCAGCUCCUAGGUGCUGGGGCUGCAAGGACGUUACGGCUGGAGGAGGCAGAAAAACAACCACACUGUGUCAAAUGUCAA